RNAcentral lists this ribosomal RNA (253 nucleotides) under uncultured bacterium. RNAcentral's name for it is "partial 16S ribosomal RNA". It matches the Rfam family "Bacterial small subunit ribosomal RNA", at positions 524 to 776 of the family's 1533-position model. The record is from RNAcentral.
UACAGAGGGUGCGAGCGUUGUCCGGAAUUACUGGGCGUAAAGCGCACGUAGGCGGCUCUUUAAGUCGGGGGUGAAAUCCUGGAGCUCAACUCCAGAACUGCCUUCGAUACUGGAGAGCUCGAGUCCGGGAGAGGUGAGUGGAACUGCGAGUGUAGAGGUGAAAUUCGUAGAUAUUCGCAAGAACACCAGUGGCGAAGGCGGCUCACUGGCCCGGUACUGACGCUGAGGUGCGAAAGCGUGGGGAGCAAACAGG